GACGAACGCUGGCGGCGUGCUUAACACAUGCAAGUCGAGCGGUAAGGCCCUUUCGGGGGUACACGAGCGGCGAACGGGUGAGUAACACGUGGGUGACCUGCCCUCAGCUCUGGGAUAAGCCUGGGAAACCGGGUCUAAUACCGGAUAUGACUCCAUGACGCAUGUUGUGGGGUGGAAAGCCUUGUGCGGCUGAGGAUGGGCCCGCGGCCUAUCAGCUUGUUGGUGGGGUGAUGGCCUACCAAGGCGACGACGGGUAGCCGGCCUGAGAGGGCGACCGGCCACACUGGGACUGAGACACGGCCCAGACUCCUACGGGAGGCAGCAGUGGGGAAUAUUGCGCAAUGGGCGUAAGCCUGACGCAGCGACGCCGCGUGGGGAUGAAGGCCU
Molecule: ribosomal RNA, 387 nt
Filed under: uncultured bacterium
Lineage: Bacteria
Description: bacterial SSU rRNA
Rfam family: Bacterial small subunit ribosomal RNA
Source: RNAcentral